This 58-nucleotide transfer RNA is filed under the name Ictidomys tridecemlineatus (thirteen-lined ground squirrel). RNAcentral's name for it is "Spermophilus tridecemlineatus (thirteen-lined ground squirrel) tRNA". It matches the Rfam family "tRNA", at positions 8 to 63 of the family's 71-position model. Rfam says of the family: Transfer RNA (tRNA) molecules are approximately 80 nucleotides in length. Lineage: Eukaryota; Metazoa; Chordata; Mammalia; Rodentia; Sciuridae. The record is from Rfam by way of RNAcentral.
UAGCUCAGUUGGUAGAGUACUUGCCUCCAAUGCACAAGGCUCUGGGUUCAAACCCCAG